RNAcentral lists this long non-coding RNA (2265 nucleotides) under Vigna radiata. RNAcentral describes it as "long non-coding RNA (VRAD_LNC004554)". Lineage: Eukaryota; Viridiplantae; Streptophyta; Magnoliopsida; Fabales; Fabaceae. The record is from RNAcentral.
CGAGGUCAAAUGUUAAAUCAAAAAUAACAAUUUUGACGUUUCUCUCAAGACGUUUGUGCACAUGCUGCUUGAAAACCUCCGCCCUUCACUUUUCCAAGAUAAGGGAUUUCCCCUCAACAAACAUCGUCGCUACCCUCAAUAACAAAAUAAACCUUUUCACUGGGGCAGAUUGACUUGGCCAAAAUUUUUCUCGCUUGCGCUAGUAGGGUGAUCCCCGAAUCCAUUGAGACAAAGUAAAAAAAAAUAUAAGGCAAAAAAAAGAAGGCAAAAAGAAAAAAAAAUUGAAAAAGAAAAACAAAAUAAAAAAAAAAGAAUAAGCCCGCUAGAUUGAAAACCCGAAAAGGCGGUCUAGAAAGGAGGAAAAAAGGAAAACACGACUCAUGUUGAGGUCAUCUAGUCGCAAGAGUCGGUCUUUUGAAAAUAAAGCAAGCAUAGUUCAAAAUGAUGUGUGGCCUUCUUGUCUUUACCUAAAAGCAAAAAUAUAUCCAUUGUCACCCCGUUUGAGCCAAAAAAAAAAAAACUAACUAAUUUCAUUUUCAAAAUUUUCCCAAGCAAGGGUUGUCAUUAGGUAAGAGUCAACUCAUGAUGCAAAUAAGAGCACUUAAUGAUCAAACAAAGAGAAUUCAUCAAGGAGAGUAAAAAAAAAAAGAAAAANAAAAAAGAAAUCACAAAGUGAUGUUGAACAAAGAAUCAAAAUCAAAGUUCAAGAAAAAAAACAAAGUGCUCAAAAAGUCAAAUAGUUGAUGCAAUACUUAGAUGAUAACCUUUGUUUCAAAAAAUAAUAACCAACAAACAUUCAUUUGGGCCUUUAUAUCCUUUCUUUCAAUACCUUUUAGCCCUUAGCCACGUUACAAGCUUAAUAAAGUCCACACAGAUUGGAUAAUGUUUGCUAAAGUUUUCAUAAAGCUUAACUUUGCGAUAAGAGGAAAUGAUUUUCAAUGUGUCGAAAAAAAAAAGAGAAAAGAAGAAAAAAUAAAUGUCUCAAGAAAAGGGGAUCUUCCUGCCAACUAGCCAGAAGCAUGCAAAAAGAAAAAUCAAACCCAUUGGGGGCCACCCUUUUAGCCGAUCCUGUACAUGUCCACUACCUCUUCCAAAUUGAACCCCUUGCCGAAGAGAAACUGGGGCAACUUUAUGAGUCUCACACAAAAUUUCAUCAAUCCAUAAUCCCAUGACUGGGGCAACUUUGCAAGUCUCACUUGAUUUUGUGUCACCCUAAUUUUCAUGGAUCCAAACCCCAACUCAUUUUCCUAAACACAAAACCGGGGCAGAAUUUUUGAUAUAUUGUGUUUCGUCUUGACACUCACAUAUUACGUCUCCUUUGAGGAUUGAAGUACCCAUGUGCCUGUCCCAGCCUUCCAAACCAUUCCAAAUCACUCUCAUUCUUUUCUAAAAUCAUCCUUUUGCCAAUGAAUUCAAGCAUGUGUGCACUGAUGUCAAGAAAGAACAAGUCAAACAUAUAAUCAUAUCUAGCAUUAGACCUUGCAUGCAUGACAUUACUCAGAUUUCACAAAAUCAUUGAAAUAAAGACCAGUUUGAUGAUUGCAAGUAAGAUGACUGACUCAAAAAAAAAAUGCAAAAUAAAGCAAAUGUUUUUCAUCAAUUCAAAAAGAAAGUUUUUCGGAUCGAAACCCUCUUCAUUCAUAUGAAUGGUGGUCGAGUCCUUCUUCAAAAAUAAAAAUGACAUGCAAAUGAUCUUUUUCAAGUGAUUUUGUUUUUUGCCGAUCAUGUUUUUCUCUCAUAUUGGGGUUUUGACACAACCUGAUCCUGCAUCAAAUUUUUGACACUUUGUCAUGAAGGGUUUCAACUCCUUGUUGCUUUUCAGAAAUCAAGUUUUUGUCGAAAAUCAUAAAAAAUACAAAUUUCAAAUUUCAUAAGCCCAGUUUCAUCUCGCAAUUUCAAAUUUCAUAAGCCCAGUUUUAUCUGGCCAUUUCAAAAUUCCAAAAGCCCAGUUUCAUCUGGCAAUUUCAAAAUUUCAAAAAGCCCAGUUUCAUGUGACCAUUUCAAAAUUUCAAAAGCCCAGUUUUGUCUGGCACCCAAAGCCCAGCUCGCCUGGCACCCCAAGCUCAAGUUUUUCUUUCUGUUAUCGGCCCUCUGCGAGGCAAUGGUCGGAUUUAAAUUUCUGUUCUGCGAGUUUGGCCUUUUGCGAGGCAAUGGUCAAAUCCAGUUUUUCUUUCUGUUAUCGGUCCUCUGCGAGGCAAUGGUCGGAUUUAAAUUUCUGUUCUGCGAGUUUGGCCCUCUGCGAGGCAAUGGUCAAAUCCAGGUUUU